UUUUAUUAUAAUUUAGAAAAGUGAAGUUCGAAUGGGUAUUCCAUGCCUCACGUGGAAUUUGAACUUUUGAAAUACUAGCCCAUGCAAAAUGUUAGAGCUAACUCUCCUAAAUUAUAGGGUGAGAUCCUAAAGUGUAGGAAGGGAUCCAAAUAUUUAGCAAGGUUAAACCCUAAUCCUCACCAUUAUAAAUAUUUCAUAUGGCUGCAGCGAGAAAGAAAAAAAAAAGGAAAAAGAGG
This 236-nucleotide long non-coding RNA is filed under the name Lathyrus oleraceus (garden pea). Its description in RNAcentral is "Pisum sativum (pea) long non-coding RNA (PSAT_LNC016126)". Lineage: Eukaryota; Viridiplantae; Streptophyta; Magnoliopsida; Fabales; Fabaceae. The record is from RNAcentral.